RNAcentral lists this ribosomal RNA (508 nucleotides) under uncultured Glomeraceae. RNAcentral's name for it is "SSU rRNA". It matches the Rfam family "Eukaryotic small subunit ribosomal RNA", at positions 569 to 1078 of the family's 1831-position model. Lineage: Eukaryota; Fungi; Glomeromycota; Glomeromycetes; Glomerales; Glomeraceae. The record is from RNAcentral.
AGCAGCCGCGGUAAUUCCAGCUCCAAUAGCGUAUAUUAAAGUUGUUGCAGUUAAAAAGCUCGUAGUUGAAUUUCGGGGUCAGUAGGCUGGUCAUGCCACAGGUAUGUACUGGUCUCACUGAUUCCUCCUUCCUGAUGAACCGUAAUGCCAUUAAUUUGGUGUUGCGGGGAAACCGGACUGUUACUUUGAAAAAAUUAGAGUGUUUAAAGCAAGCUAACGCUUGAAUACAUUAGCAUGGAAUAAUGAAAUAGGACGUUCGAUCCUAUUUUGUUGGUUUCUAGGAUUGACGUAAUGAUUAAUAGGGAUAGUUGGGGGCAUUAGUAUUCAAUUGUCAGAGGUGAAAUUCUUGGAUUUAUUGAAGACUAACUACUGCGAAAGCAUUUGCCAAGGAUGUUUUCAUUAAUCAAGAACGAAAGUUAGGGGAUCGAAGACGAUCAGAUACCGUCGUAGUCUUAACCAUAAACUAUGCCGACUAGGGAUCGGAUGAUGUUAAUUUUUUAAUGACUCA